This 166-nucleotide ribosomal RNA is filed under the name Poitea galegoides var. galegoides. RNAcentral describes it as "5.8S ribosomal RNA". It matches the Rfam family "5.8S ribosomal RNA". From Rfam's summary of the family: 5.8S ribosomal RNA (5.8S rRNA) is a component of the large subunit of the eukaryotic ribosome. It is transcribed by RNA polymerase I as part of the 45S precursor that also contains 18S and 28S rRNA. The record is from RNAcentral. Lineage: Eukaryota; Viridiplantae; Streptophyta; Magnoliopsida; Fabales; Fabaceae.
UGUACAAUGACUCUUGGCAACGGAUAUCUCGGCUCUUGCAUCGAUGAAGAACGUAGCGAAAUGCGAUACUUGGUGUGAAUUGCAGAAUCCCGUGAACCAUCGAGUCUUUGAACGCAAGUUGCGCCCGAAGCCAUUAGGUCGAGGGCACGUCUGCCUGGGUGUCACA